AGACCCGAAACCCGGUGAUCUAGCCAUGGGCAGGUUGAAGGUUGGGUAACACUAACUGGAGGACCGAACCGACUAAUGUUGAAAAAUUAGCGGAUGACCUGUGGCUGGGGGUGAAAGGCCAAUCAAACCGGGAGAUAGCUGGUUCUCCCCGAAAGCUAUUUAGGUAGCGCCUCGUGAAUUCAUCUCCGGGGGUAGAGCACUGUUUCGGCUAGGGGGCCAUCCCGGCUUACCAACCCGAUGCAAACUGCGAAUACCGGAGAAUGUUAUCACGGGAGACACACGGCGGGUGCUAACGUCCGUCGUGAAGAGGGAAACAACCCAGACCGCCAGCUAAGGUCCCAAAGUCAUGGUUAAGUGGGAAACGAUGUGGGAAGGCCCAGACAGCCAGGAUGUUGGCUUAGAAGCAGCCAUCAUUUAAAGAAAGCGUAAUAGCUCACUGGUCGAGUCGGCCUGCGCGGAAGAUGUAACGGGGCUAAACCAUGCACCGAAGCUGCGGCAGCGAACGUAUCACUUAAAGCGAUUCAGCGGGUUACGAUUGACGGAGCGAAGCGACGUCAAAGCGUAUACAAAGUCGAGUCGGUUUAAGGAUACGUUCGUUGGGUAGGGGAGCGUUCUGUAAGCCUGCGAAGGUGGCCUGUGAGGGUUGCUGGAGGUAUCAGAAGUGCGAAUGCUGACAUAAGUAACGAUAAAGCGGGUGAAAAGCCCGCUCGCCGGAAGACCAAGGGUUCCUGUCCAACGUUAAUCGGGGCAGGGUGAGUCGACCCCUAAGGCGAGGCCGAAAGGCGUAGUCGAUGGGAAACGGGUUAAUAUUCCCGUACUUGGUGUUACUGCGAAGGGGGGACGGAGAAGGCUAUGUUGGCCGGGCGACGGUUGUCCCGGUUUAAGCGUGUAGGUGUGUGUUCCAGGUAAAUCCGGUUCACUUUAACACUGAGGCGUGACGACGAGGCACUACGGUGCUGAAGCAACAAAUGCCCUGCUUCCAGGAAAAGCCUCUAAGCAUCAGGUAACAUCAAAUCGUACCCCAAACCGACACAGGUGGUCAGGUAGAGAAUACCAAGGCGCUUGAGAGAACUCGGGUGAAGGAACUAGGCAAAAUGGUGCCGUAACU
RNAcentral lists this ribosomal RNA (1108 nucleotides) under Salmonella enterica. Its description in RNAcentral is "partial 23S ribosomal RNA". It matches the Rfam family "Bacterial large subunit ribosomal RNA", at positions 711 to 1735 of the family's 2925-position model. Lineage: Bacteria; Pseudomonadati; Pseudomonadota; Gammaproteobacteria; Enterobacterales; Enterobacteriaceae. RNAcentral also lists the same sequence under 2 other names. The record is from RNAcentral.